ACACUCACCUUACUUGAGGCCUUCCAUUGCCUCGCCCAUAUAGCCUAAUUCGUCUUUCGAUCUUAUGAAUGAAGCGGGUAGCAUGCUACCUCUUUCUAAAAAAAAAGUAAAAUUUCUUUUUAUUUUUGAUAAGAGAAAGGUGGUGAGUUUUUUGCUUCAUUCAUUUUGAAAAUGAAGGAAGAUAAAAAUAUAAAGUAAUAAGGUUUUGAACUUAGGGCCCUAGUGUCAGGGACUUAGAAAAAUUUCUAUGCAGCCUGGUCCCUGGCCCAAAUCUGCUUAGCGAGUUCGGGUUGAAGACGGGUCGAAUCGGGUUGUCAAGGAGGCCCAAACCCAACCCGCUGUGGGAAACUCAAGGGUUAGGAAACUCAUGAGAGUUAUGGGUGAUUCUUGAGCUUUUGACAUUUAUGAGGGCUCAUUAUGAGGAUUCAUUAUGUAUGUAGUGGGUGAGUUGAAAAGGCUCAUUAGGCCUAUAAAUAGUGGGGUUGGCUAAGGCCAUGACACACAAGAGAGAGUGUGUUUGUAUGCUGUUUGUAGGUUGUAAUUCUCAUUUUUAAGUAGUGUAGUACUUAAUUUUUUUUUGAGAGAACCUCUACCUCUUUCUCUUUGUCAUUUCCCUUUGCAUACUUAGUCGUAGGACGCGAAGGUCCGGGCUAGCAACAGGGACAAAGGCUUGUCCAUCUUCGAGCAGGAAAGGUGGGCGCAGCACGGGCUUUGCGAACGAAAACACUAAGUUCGUGACAGUUGGUAUCAGAGCCGGUUCGAGCGAGGAACCAUGUCGUCAUCCGAUGCGGGAAUCGUCGACGUUAGGGGCGACCCUCCAAAGCAGCCCUCCAAGCGAAGCAAGAGCAAAGACCCUCAGCGAAUCAUGAGGAAUUCGGCGUCAUUGGAGGACCGCCUUGUGCUGUUGGAGGACAUCAUCGCGAAAAUGGGUAAAAGGUACAUCGAGAUGGCGGAUACCUUUAACUCAUUCAACGAAGAUGUCCACAGCAUGGAGGAAAGUGUCGCUACAGCCAUGGAGACAUUUCGAAGCGAUCUCGAAAAGCUCCAAGCCAACAUGAAGAAUCGUGACGAGGAGCGAAAGAAACUGAUCGAGGAGCUUGUUGCUCGAGUCGACGAGGUCGAGGACCUCAAGACAAGAGUAACGAUCCUUGAGAAAGCGGUGGCGCGUGGCCACGAACCCCAACGAGAGUCCGCUUCGAAGGUACGUAUCCCUGAGCCUCAAAAUUUCAGGGGAACCCGCGACGAGAAGGAGAUCGACAACUUUCUGUGGCACAUGGAGCGCUACUUCAAGGCGUUGCGGCUGGACGACGAAGAUGAGAAAGUCCAGGCUGCAUCCAUGUACCUUGCUGAUGACGCGAUGCUGUGGUGGCGUCGGCGUUCUGCAGAAGCCGAGAAGGGCCAAUGCAACUUGAAGACGUGGGAGGACUUCGUGCGCGAGCUCAAGGCGCAGUUCUACCCCGAGCACGUCGAGUACCUUGCGAGGAAGCAACUUCGACGGCUCAAACACACCGGGACGCUCAAGGAGUAUGUCAAGGAAUACUCCAAGUUGAUGCUGUCCAUCACCAACAUGGCGGAGGAAGAUCGCUUAUUCUUCUUCCUCGACGGACUCCAACCUUGGGCGAACAAGGAGCUUGUGGGACGCGACGUCAAGGACGUUGCCUCCGCAAUUGCCUUGGCGGAAAAACUGCCCGAGUACGAGCGGGCGGAUUCAACUCGCAGCAAGACGCCCAAAGCGAGCAAGGCUAAAGGUGGAGGAGACCGUCGCGACCAGAAGGAGCGCAGGGGCCGCGAGAGGGGUCCUGUGCCGUCGCUAAAGAAAUUGACGUGCUACGUCUGCGGCGAGAACCAUUGGGCGAGGGACUGCCCAAACAAGAAGAAGCUGAAUGCUGUCGAGACCGAGCAGGGCGAGGGCAGUGCAGAACCGACGAAGAUGGGCGCGCUUAGGCUCGUCAACGCGGUUCAGGGGUUGGCAAGCAGCAGCAAGCCCCUUAACAAAGAGCUUCUGUACAUCGAUGUGACCCUUAACAGCAGGGCCACACGAGCAUUGGUGGACACGGGAGUCACUCACAACUUUGUUGCCGAAGUGGAGGCCAAACAGAUAGGCCUUCCCCUUGAGAAGGAUGCUAGCAGGAUCAAGGCCGUCAACUCUGAGGCGCAACCUGUUGCGGGCGUGGCCAAGGGCGUGGCCAUUGCGGUGGGACCUUGGAGAGGCACCGCAAACUUCACCGCCGCACCCAUCGACGACUUCCAAGUCAUACUAGGUAUAGACUUCUUGACUUCGUCGAAGACGGUUCCGAUGCCACACCUUGGGGCCUUAAGCAUCAUGGACGAGGCGGCCCCAUGCAUGAUCCUAGCAAUCCAGGAGAAAACGGUAAGCACCCAAACCUUCUCUGCGUUGCAGUUGCGAAGGGGUGUACAGUGACGAGAUGACUUACCUUGCGGCCAUCCGCGAGGUGAGCGACGAGGGCCUCGACGAGGAGGGCCUUCCUGCGGAGAUUGGAGCGGUCUUGGUAGAUUUCCACGAUGUCAUGCCAAAGGAGCUGCCGAAGCAACUUCCACCUAGGCGGGAGGUGGAUCAUGCCAUUGAGCUCGAGCCAGGAGCCAAACCGCCAGCGAAAGCGCCAUAUAGAAUGGCCCCGCCAGAGCUCGAGGAGUUGCAAAAGCAGUUAAAGGAGCUCCUCGAUGCAGGCUUCAUCCGACCGUCGAAGGAACCUUAUGGAGCACCAGUUUUGUUCCAGCGCAAGAGCGACGGAAGCCUGCGGCUUUGUAUCGAUUACAGAGCGCUCAACAAGGUAACGGUCAAAAACAAAUACCCUAUUCCUUUGGUUGCAGAUCUCUUCGACCAAUUGGGCGGAGCGAAGUACUUCACCAAACUCGACCUUCGCUCUGGGUAUUAUCAAGUGCGGAUUGUGGAAGGAGACGAGGAGAAGACCACGUGCGUGACGAGGUACGGGGCCUAUGAGUUCCUUGUCAUGCCGUUCGGCUUGACGAACGCGCCAGCAACCUUCUGCACACUUAUGAACAAGCUGUUCCAUCCCUAUCUCGAUCGCUUUGUGGUGGUGUACCUCGACGACAUCGUGGUAUAUAGCAACACCUUGGAGGAGCACAUCGAGCACUUGCGAACCGUCUUCCAAGUGCUGCGGGAGAACCAGCUGUUCGUCAAGAAGGAGAAGUGCAUAUUCGCGAAGGAAGAGGUGCACUUCCUUGGCCACUGGAUAGGCCAGGGCCUGAUUCGCAUGGACCAGCGGAAGGUGCGAGCCAUCUGCGAAUGGGAGACCCCAACGACAGUGUCCGAGUUGCAGUCUUUCCUUGGGCUCGUCAACUACUACCGCCGAUUCAUUCCUGGCUACUCUGCGAGAGCAGCCUCGUUGACGGAUCUGCUGAGGAAAAACCACUCGUGGGUUUGGACCUCUCAAUGCGCGGAGGCAUUCGAGGACCUAAAGCGAGCGGUGACGGAGGAUCCAGUGCUGCGACUAUCCGACUGCAGUCGCACCUUUGAGGUACAUACUGAUGCCUCUGACUUUGCCAUUGGCGGUGUCCUCGUGCAGGAUGGGCACCCUAUCGCCUAUGAGAGCCGCAAGCUCAACGACACCGAGCGGCAUUACACCGUCCAGGAGAAGGAAAUGAUCGUUGUGGUGCAUUGCUUGCGAACCUGGCGGCAGUAUUUGCUUGGGAGCAAGUUUGUGGUGCGCACCGACAACGUUGCCACAAGCUACUUCCAAUCGCAAAAGAAGCUGUCGCCUAAACAGGCGAGGUGGCAGGACUUCUUGGCGGAGUUCGACAUGGAGAUGCAAUACAAGCCCGGGAAGGAAAACCGCGUGGCUGAUACUCUCAGCCGCAAGGCUGAGCUUGCAGCCGUGUGGCAACUUCAAGGGACGCUCCGUGAUCGACUUCGUUCAGGAAUCAACGAGGACCCUAUCGCUCAAAAUCUGGUGCAGCUUGUCAAGGAGGGCAAAACGCGAAGGUUUUGGCUGAGCGACAGGCUGCUCCUCACCAAGGGGCGACGGGUGUACGUGCCCAAGUGGGGCAACCUUCGCCGCGAGCUCAUCAAGGAGUGCCAUGACUCCAAGUGGGUGGGCCACCCAGGUCAGAAGCGAACCCUGGCGUUGCUCGGCGCCGCCUACUUUUGGCCGCAGAUGCACGAAGACGUGGAGGCCUACGUGCGAACCUGCUUGGUGUGUCAACAAGACAAAGUUGAGCACCAGCGACCUGGCGGACUCCUCGAGCCUUUACCUGUGCCUAGCCGUCCGUGGGAGAGUAUUUCUAUGGACUUCAUCUUCGCCUUGCCAAAGGUGGGGGUGCUUGGGUCCAUUUUGGUGGUGGUUGAUCGUUUUUCAAGUACGGGACCUUCAUUGCUGCGCCGGCCGAUUGCACGGCUGAAGAAGCGGCACGCCUCUUCGUCAGCCACAUCGUCAAGCUUUGGGGGAUCCCUAUGAGCAUCGUGAGCGACCGCGACCCCAGGUUCACUGGCAAGUUUUGGACAGAGGUGUUCAAAAUCUUAGGGUCGGAGUUGCUCUUCUGCACCAGUUGGCAUCCACAGACCGACGGGCAAACUGAGCGGGUGAACGCUCUGUUAGAGGAGUAUUUGCGGCACUAUGUGAGUGCCAAUCAGAAGGAUUGGGUGCAUCAUCUCGAUGUCGCCCAGUUUGCUUACAACUUGCGGCGCAGCGAGUCUACGGGCUGCAGCCUUUUCGAGUUGGCGAUCGGGCGACAACCACUUGCCCCUCACACGGUUGCUGCGGGAGAGCAGUUCCGCAGCCCAGUUGCUCUUCAGUUUACCACUAACUUGCAGGAAAAGGGUGAAAUCGCAAGGGCAAACUUGGAGAAAGCAGCACGACGGAUGAAGAAGUGGGCUGACGAAAAGCGACACCUCGGGAGUUUGCCGAGGGCGACCGUGUGAUGGUCAAGCUUCAUCCGCAGCAGUUCAAAGCCUUGCGGAAGGUGCACAAGAGACUGCUGUGCAAGUAUGAAGGCCCAUAUACCGUCGUCAAGCGUGUGGGCAAGGGGCUGCCCGCAAACCUCAGGAUCCACCCUGUUUUUCAUGUCAGCAGGUUGAAGCUGUACAACGAAGACGCGGAGGAUCCGAGCAGAGGAGUGUCGCAGCGAGCGCCUCCGACCAUGGUGACUUCGUUCGACAAAGAAGCGGAGUCCAUCCUGGACACUCGACUCAUUCGGCGACGUGGGGUCGUGCCGAAUCCUGAGUACUUGGUGAAGUGGAAGAAUCUCCCAUUCGGCUAGGCUAGUUGGGAGAAGGCGGACACACUUUGGCAGUACCAAGCGCUCAUCGAAGAGUUCCAGAAGCAGCGCGCGACGAGAACGCCUGCGCAUUAGGUGGAGGAGGGUGUCAGGGACUUAGAAAAAUUUCUAUGCAGCCCGGUCCCUGGCCCAAAUCUGCUUAGCGAGUUCGGAUUGAAGACGGGUCGAAUUGGGUUGUCAAGGAGGCCCAAACCCAACCCGCUGUGGGAAACUCAAGGGUUAGGAAACUCAUGGGAGUUAUGGGUGACUCUUGAGCUUUUGGCAUUUAUGAGGGCUCAUUAUGAGGAUUCAUUAUGUAUAUAGUGGGUGAGUUGAAAAGGCUCAUUAGGCCUAUAAAUAGUGAGGUUGGCUAAGGCCAUGAUACACAAGAGAGAGUGUGUUUGUAUGCUAUUUGUAGGUUGUAAUUCUCAUUUUUAAGUAGUGUAGUACUUAGUUUUUUUUUGAGAGAACCUCUGCCUCUUUCUCUUUGUCAUUUCCCUUUGCAUACUUAGUCGUAGGACGCGAAGGUCCGGGCUAGCAACAGGGACAAAGGCUUGUCCAUCUUCGAGCAGGAAAGGUGGGCGCCGCACGGGCUUUGCGAACGAAAACGCUAAGUCCGUGACAC
Molecule: long non-coding RNA, 5860 nt
Filed under: Ananas comosus (pineapple)
Lineage: Eukaryota; Viridiplantae; Streptophyta; Magnoliopsida; Poales; Bromeliaceae
Description: long non-coding RNA (ACOM_LNC019513)
Source: RNAcentral